GGGGUUGUGGCUCAGUGGUAGAGCGCUUGCCUAGCACAUGCAAGGCCCUGGGUUCCAUCCUCAGCACCACA
This 71-nucleotide transfer RNA is filed under the name Marmota monax (woodchuck). Its description in RNAcentral is "tRNA.Ala". Lineage: Eukaryota; Metazoa; Chordata; Mammalia; Rodentia; Sciuridae. The record is from RNAcentral.